GUAAUUUAUAAAGAGGUUUAAUUGACUCACAGUUCAGCAUGGCUAGGGAGGCCUCAGGAAACUUAUAAUCAUGGUGAAAAGGGAAGCCAACACGUCCUUCUUCACAUGGCAGCGGGGAGGACACAUGGGGACUAUAGGAACUAUAAUUCAAGAUGAGAUUUGGGUGGGGACACAGAAAACCCAUAUCAUAUACAUUAUUAGAAGUAAUAGAAGAGUUUAGUCUGCCAGAAAUGACAUAUUAUAAGUAAUUAGAUUGUGUGUUAUUAGCACGAGGAUGAAAAACAGACCAACGGAACAAAAAGAGAACCCAGGAACUCAAUGCUCUCAGUGAGACCUGAACUGAGUUAAGUGAAGAGAGAGAGGCAAGGCUGACAGUAUUUGUUUUACUGGCAGGGAUUAAAAUGGUGGCUUCCCAAUUUUAGAAGGUGAUUUCAGAGCUGUGUUUGGUUCUGGAGCCAGCAGGUCUGACAGUGGCUUCUUGAUUUAGCUGAAGUGGUCCCUAAUUGUGCCACGGGUCAAAGUCAGAGUGGUGGUCACAGUCCUGGAGGUGGCAAGAAGGAUGACAAGGACAAGAAAAAGAAAUAUGAACCUCCUGUACCAACUGGAGUGGGGAAAAAGAAGAAAACAAAAGGAUCAGAUGUUGCCAGCAAACUGCCACUGGUGACACCUCACACUCAGUGCCCAUUACAAUUACUGAAGUUA
Molecule: long non-coding RNA, 702 nt
Filed under: Homo sapiens (human)
Lineage: Eukaryota; Metazoa; Chordata; Mammalia; Primates; Hominidae
Description: non-protein coding lnc-CDYL-4:1
Source: RNAcentral